This 254-nucleotide ribosomal RNA is filed under the name uncultured bacterium. Its description in RNAcentral is "partial 16S ribosomal RNA". It matches the Rfam family "Bacterial small subunit ribosomal RNA", at positions 524 to 776 of the family's 1533-position model. The record is from RNAcentral.
UACGAAGGGAGCUAGCGUUGUUCGGAAUUACUGGGCGUAAAGGGCGCGUAGGCGGUUUUGUAAGUCAGAUGUGAAAGCCCCGGGCUUAACCUGGGAGGUGCAUUUGAAACUGCAAGGCUAGAGAUCGAGAGAGGAAAGUGGAAUUACGAGUGUAGAGGUGAAAUUCGUAGAUAUUCGUAAGAACACCAGUGGCGAAGGCGACUUUCUGGCUCGAUACUGACGCUAAAGGCGCGAAAGCGUGGGGAGCAAACAGG